Molecule: long non-coding RNA, 399 nt
Organism: Gorilla gorilla gorilla (western lowland gorilla)
Lineage: Eukaryota; Metazoa; Chordata; Mammalia; Primates; Hominidae
Exons: 4
Source: RefSeq, a predicted model, not a curated record
UCCUCAAGUGCCGCCAAAGUGGGAGCCCAGGCAGAGGAGGCGCCGAGAGCCAGAGAGGGCUGUGAGGACUGCCAGCACGCUGUCACCUCUCAGUACCACCAAUAUCAUGAUUAUUGAAUGAGGUUGCCUUGAUUAUUCUGCUGAUCUUGCCUGGCUUUACUAAUGUGCCUGAGGUUGUCUAGAAGAUGAAAUGGAAUGGGUGGAUUUGGUGGAAUAGGUGGAUUCGGUGGAAUGGAUGGAUUCAGUGGAAUGGGUGGAAUAGGAAGACGAAGGCUGGAGUUGGAUAAUGAUCCUUCUAUUAUGAGCUUUGCAUUCAGCACCACUGACAAAUCAUAAAAGAGGGAAGAAACCACAGACGCACAAGAACACAUGAAAAAAAGACUUGCAAACAGAAAAUCA